AAUUUUCGGCAAUGGGGGAAACCCUGACCGAGCAAUGCCGCGUGAACUAUGAAGGUCUUCGGAUCGUAAGGUUCUGUUAUUGGGAAAGAAAUGCAUAAUUAGGAAAUGAGUUAUGCUUGACGGUACCUGAUGAGAAAGCCCCGGCUAACUAUGUGCCAGCAGCCGCGGUAAUACAUAGGGGGCGAGCGUUAUCCGGAAUUAUUGGGCGUAAAGCGUGCGUAGGCGGAUUAUUAAGUCUGACGUGAAAUCCCACAGCUUAACUGUGGAGGGUCGUUGGAAACUGGUAGGCUUGAGUACAGUAGAGGUAAGUGGAAUUCCAAGUGGAGCGGUGGAAUGCGUAGAUAUUUGGAGGAACACCAGUGGCGAAGGCGGCUUACUGGGCUGGAACUGACGCUGAUGCACGAAAGCGUGGGGAGCAAACAG
RNAcentral lists this ribosomal RNA (423 nucleotides) under uncultured bacterium. RNAcentral's name for it is "partial 16S ribosomal RNA". It matches the Rfam family "Bacterial small subunit ribosomal RNA", at positions 360 to 775 of the family's 1533-position model. The record is from RNAcentral.